GCAGAGAUUGCCGAGUAUGGUCAAAGGCGCUGGACUUAGAAUCCAGUCUUUAGUAGUUCGGGGGUUCAAAUCCCUCUCUCUGCA
RNAcentral lists this transfer RNA (84 nucleotides) under Promethearchaeota archaeon. Its description in RNAcentral is "Candidatus Lokiarchaeota archaeon tRNA-Leu". It matches the Rfam family "tRNA". From Rfam's summary of the family: Transfer RNA (tRNA) molecules are approximately 80 nucleotides in length. RNAcentral also lists the same sequence under 2 other names. Lineage: Archaea; Promethearchaeati; Promethearchaeota. The record is from RNAcentral.